UGGGUUUUGGUGGCUAAUGACUUGUUUACUGAUGACAACUUUGUAGUAAAGUAAGCUCUUCACCUCAGCUAAGUUCCGAAUUAUCUUUUAAAGAAAAAGUUUCAUGGAGUUUCUGGGAUGAGCAUUAGCCCUAUUUUAUAUUGAGGUUUACCAGGAAGCUUGGCUAAUGAUGGUGAAUCAUAGUAUAGCUCUCAUAUCUUUGUCCAAAAUCGACAUAUGAUGAUAAAAACGCAUAAUUCCUAACAAAUCACAAACAACUUCGCGAGCCUUUGGCUUGUUUCUAUUUCUUUGAACAACUAAGACCUGCGGUUCUCAUUGCAUCUAACCUUUCGUUGAAAAUGUUCUAGUUGCAACCAUGGAUGAUGAUGCAGAGGAAGCUGCAACCCUGGAAGAAGAUGAAACUAGGACAACUAAUGGAUCGGAGAUGGAAAUUUUGAGCGAGACGAUGCAUCUGGUGCUGCACCAGUAGAAGAAACUGACAACAUUGAGUCUGAUCCAUUUGGACUUGACGCAUAUAUUCCCAGCACGGUGAAGAAAGAUGCGAAGGUAAAGGCAAAAGGAUCCAAGACCAAAACGAGAAAGAACGAGGAGGAUAGCAAGUUUGACAGAUUUCUCAAAUGUCAAAGAGAAGCCUUAAUCACUUGCUUUGAGAUUGCUGCUCGGCGAUACAAGACACCUUGGUUAGAUCUCAGAACUUAACUACUUGAUUAGCAUUGUUUAGGAUAGGCAUAGAUGUUGACUGUAACUGAAGUAGUUACAUACACUCUUUUUUAGGUGUCAGGCAGUGAUAGAUAUUCUAGUGGAGCACGCCCAUGAUAACGUCGAGAGGUUUACGUCUCGACAAAGAGAUGCCAUCGUGAAGUUGUGGGCUUCAAUUCGGAAACAACACAUUCGUAGGAUGCAAGGCAAGUCUGUGAAUGGGAAGCUUGAUGUGACUGCUUUCGAGGCGCUGAAGGAGUAGUACUCGACGGAGAAAAUCAGUAUUCGGAAUGCGGUAGGUUGUGGUGGAGAACGCAAAGCCCAACAAUGGCUUGGAUGAUAUAGAUAUGGUGAGCGUACCAUCUUUUUGUAUGUCGUGGAUUUAUUGUUGUUGUUAUUGUUUAUCAUCCAUGGCUUUGUAAUGGAGAGUUAGCUCUUCAAUACAAUCCGUGGAAAAUGUUGAAUGAGGUUUUUGAGUUGAUCGUGAAAUGUUACAUUUUGAAACUACGUGAGGAGUUAAGUAAGAUAUUUGUAAAAGAGUCUCAAGGCAAAGGGGAAUAAUUUAUUUUGUAGAAGAACUAUCGGAAGGAACGAUAUAGAGAAGAUUAAGAUUUGUAUGGCCUUUUGAGGAUAUCCGAUAAAACUGAAACGAUAGAGAUAAGAUUCACAUGGCCCUAGUGCAAAGAUGAAAUGCAUAAAUCGAAAAAAAUAUCGGGUAUCGAAAAAGUAUGUUUUUGAAGUUUCAACGUUUUACUAUAAUGUUGGUGAUGAAUUCAUAAAUAAGAUUAUUGAGCAUUUAUUAUUUUAAAAGCAUGGAUGGUGAUAACGUCAACGUGCAAAUAAUGGCAAACACAAAAAAAACAGUAAUUGAUAAAUGUAAUUUUAAUGUUAGGGUGUUCACAUAUUAAUCUACGAGACCCGAAUAUCAAAACACACAAAUAAUGAACGGAAGAGAUUAAAUUAUAGAAAUGGGAGUAUUCAAUAAAUCGGGAGUAUUGAAGUAUUUUACGUAAAAAUUCAAAUUUAGAAUAUGAUUUAGAGUUAACGAUUAUGAUUUAAUGUUUAAUUAAUAUGUGUUCUUAUCAAAAGGUAAAUGUUUUAAAGGAGUUCCUGCUUUAUUAGUUUCCGCUGCAUCUUUCUUUUCAAAUUUUUUUUUGUUUAUUUUAUCUUUCCGUCAAGUCUAGUUUUGUGUUUAGAUUGUUAGCUUUCGUUCAAAAUUUUUAUUUAUUUUAAGGAUAGUUGGAAGUACAAAUACGAUAAUUCUUACUACAUAAUUAUGAAUCCGAACUUCACUCAAUAAGAAUGGUAAUUAUCCAUAAAGAUCGUUUGACCACGAACGUAGAUUUCUUUUUGAAAAAAAGAGGAGUCUACCAUUAUUCUUUUUAUCAACUAUGUAAUUGUGGAUGAUCGGCCGCCAACUUGUCGGAAAUUAAACCUCUUUAACUUAUUAAUUAUUUAGUCCUCUUUCUACUUUAUUUUAAUAAUUACCGGCCAUCAUCUUAUAUGUGUCCUAAUCAAUGUUGUUUAAGUGACUCUUUAGUUAAUUGUACUGCCGCAUUCACAAUUUCAACCAUAUGGCGAUCACGAAGAGACAUUGGCGUGCUUAAUUAUAGGCUAAAAUAACAUCCCCUUUGCAAGUUGUAAUUAUAUGUAUUACGCUUAUAGUCAGGGUCAACACUUAGACUCAAGUGGUUGUAAUGCUUAAUUUUGUUUCCAGAGAUUUUGAGUUAGAAGUUUGAAAUGUACAAAUUUUUAUGUUUAUGUAAUGGUAUCAUCGAUCUCAUCCGAGUGGACGACUGUCAAAGCUUACCUAAAAAAAGCAUUACUAAAUAUGGUGUCUGUCAUCUGUUUGAAAAUUUGACCACUUCGGAGUCGACCGUUUCUGCCUAAUAACCCUAAUUGGCAACCGUGGAAGAUAGGUCGAUUGAUAGGACUCCGAUCCAAGGCGGUUGGGCCCAGACGUACGCAUAGAAAACCCGUGUUAGGUCAUCGCUAGAAAACAUACGUGGCAUCGUCUUCAUGUACCCCUCAACUUAACAGUCUUAAUUACAUUGGUGGUAUCGACCGUCAGGAUGAAACUACACAAGACCAUAAAUAGUAUCCAGCUAUCAUUGUACAAGGUAGGAAGGAUAUCAUAAUUGUAGAUGCAGCACUAUGCAUACUCUUUGUACAUUUCCUUGCAUUCUUUUUUACUCUUACGUCAUCCUGAAUUUACUACUGUUGGAUGAGACGAAAGCAAUACAAUCCAAACCCAAUACCAUUAUUUGUCCAACCCAAAGGACAAGGGUUGAAUAGUUGUGUGCGACGGGAGGCCGGUACUUGCAUUCUUCUCCAUUGAUCGUCUCUGAUCACCUUCAACUUGUAAGCUUUGUCCACAAUCCUAAUAAGCAGUAUUGCUGGUCGUGGCAACGAUGCUGUUAUAUAUAUGAUGAUGAACCGUAGCGGCAGAAGAAGAUCGAUCAGAAAUGAUGAUGGGAUUCAAUCUGUGGAUAUAUAUAUUUCCUUUAUUUUUCUGCUGACGAAUAUUAUCAACAAAAAUUACAGAGUAAAUAUGUACUCGUCAUUAUGGUAUUCUCAAUUGCACUGUUAAUUAUGUAUGUAUAUAUGUUUGUGUCUGUCCAUCACUGUAGGUUACAUUUAUGGGAGUGAUUGCGACUGUUGUUGGGUUUGGUCCUCCAAUGCCCUACAUGUAUAUAUGUAACGUGCAACGUCGCAUCAGGACCUAGCUAGCAAUCUAGAUAUAUGGACUGUCUUAAUUCCCCCGAUUAAGAUCCUUUUUGGGAUCUUCUUCAUAUAAGGAGCUAGGAUGGAUUAGAGCACCGGACUCGGUCGGAAACAAAUCAGACACUGAACCAAUUUCGUUGAAUUAUUGGGCCCAUUUCGUAAAAUUUCCGGGUCGAACCACUUAAAUAUACAAAAAUAUAUAUAGUUGGGUGACUAUGGACUCGGAAAUGGGGUGGGUCCGAGCCCAGAAAACCCGACCCCCAACUCCGCCCUUAAUCAUCUUCUAUUGCUACUCUUCAUGUAUCCUUGGAACUUUCUUUAACUUUGAUGCCAUGGAACAUCAUCAAAUGUUAUCUAUUAAUCAUCUUGUUAAGUCUUUGAUCCUUAAAUCAAAUUCGAGUAUGAGUUAUACUCUAGCCGGUUGGGUCAGAUUGGUUAUGACGGUCAACCCUUCUCAACGCUUAAUGAAACAACGUGUUUGGACUUGGGAACCCUAGUAUAACUUCUAAGAGGUGCUGACGUGAUUCUCAGAAGUUGCACUCUCUCCACUCUCACCUCUCUGCUCUCUCUCAACUGGAUCUGGGAAUCCUCUUACGACUACUAGGGUUCUUCACCAGCAGACGGUGGAUUACGAAUCAGAGCUUCUGCCGUCACUCAUAUCAGGGAAUAUUAUUUCUCUCUAGUUCUUGUUGAUUAUGUUCCUCUGUGUUGAUUGAUUGAUCUGUUAUCUUACUGGAUUUAUAUCAUGGUUCUCUUAUUCAUCUCUGUACUCUUUUCGGUGACCAGUGAUAGUCGAUUUGGGCUGAGUCUCCUCUAUUGAGACUCCGUAGAGUAGGGAGUUCCCGAACUUCUUGAACAAUUCCUGUGUCGAUUACUUUGAUGCAUGUGUAGAUUAGGGUUUCAAAUAAUCCGUUUGUGAUUCUUGUUUCUAUCAGUUUGCAUAACUCAUCGAUUUCGAUCCUCACAGCUCAUAUAUACAUAGAAUUUCAUGGCUGGAGUCAUACCGGCCGUGGAUAAUUGAAUCCAACCCAGAUGUUCAACGAUAAUUUUUUUGGCCUGUUGAUUGAUUCGAUGGUCACCUUCACAAUUGUUUUUUUCUAGUAGAUAAUAUAGUAGGGUUAAUAUAUAUGGUGCUUUAUUCAUACUAUUUUCUUGAACCGAAACUACUUGAUUAACAAAUUUUUGUGCCUUGUGCGCUCGUAUAUGUUUUCUAUUCAUGAUUGCCUUUGAUUGUCAAUAUUAUCAAUGAAAUUGUCUCAAUCACUAGUUUUCUAAUUAACAAUCCCCAAAUUGUCUCAUUUUGAUUCACAAUGCAUUAUUGGGAGCUAGGGGACCAUAUAUAUAUAUUAACCAUGCAUGAUGGCUAAAGAUUUGAAUGGCUGUAUGGUCCUCUUUUGAAUUUCCCUUUCAGAAUUGGACCAACAUAUAUGCAAAUAUCCAUAAUCCAUGUGCAUUUAAUUUCUCGACUCCUAAGUUUCAAAAACCCCAAGAAGAAUCCUCAACUAGUUUGGCGCCAAUCCCUUUCAUUGUAAUGGCAGACCGGGCAGGGUGGGCCAACCUGGGUCGUCGCCUAGGAUCUCCUAAUUCGUAAACGAAAAAAUUAUGUAUCAAAUUUUUGAAGUCGAAGUUUAUGUAACGUUUUAUAUGAUCAUCUAGUCUGGCCAUCAGGCCAUGACCGCCGAGUGGGCACUGGCACAGGGACAUCAAAUCAAGCUCAACUCACUUUUUCUCGCACAAGGAGGAUAUCAAACAUUACAUGAGAUGUUAAGAAUGUCUUAAAGGUUUGAGACAAAAUCAACUACCAACUGCAACAUUAAUGCUUAUUUACCCUCGUUUACGAGUCCAUUGAGUGGGUCUAAUGUCAUGCCCAAAUCCAAGGACUUUUAGUUAUCACUCUUGUUGUCUUUCAUUGUAACUUGGAGAGUAAAAUAAUAUAUAAUUUUCUAGAAUCACCUUGCUUAGGUAAAAAAUAUGAAAGGAUAUAUAUUAUUUUUGUUAGUUAUUCUAGUGGAUUAUCUUUUUUCUUUGUUUGAUUGAAAGACUCCCCCAUUACUUUGUAGAAUUUUCGGCCACCCCACAUCCUAUACAAAGACGAUUUGGCCUCAUGAAUAAAAUUGAAGGUAAUCACCUAUUGGUUCGUGGCACCUUCUACCUUUAGAAACUUUGAGUUCCAAGCUCAUCUAUAGCUAGCAAGUCCAAGUACGUUUUUCCUUCUAUCCUUGAAUAUAUCGGUAUGAAAACAGACGGACCACAACGCAUAUAAAGUACAUACCGUAUCUCAAUAUCAACCGGUUCAGUUGAAAUUAAACACCCCAUCCCCAAACAGCAAAGUACCGACGGAGGAGAAAGUCGACAUGGGAAGAGGAAUCAAGAAAGACAAUUCAAUACAAACUUUGAUGCUUGCCUUGGUUGGGUUGCUGUGUUUAAAGUGUUUUUGGUAUGUGGUGGCUGUUUAUUGAGAUUGUUUGCUUCCGGCUACCAUCUGUGACAAUGAACCACUUAUAUAGCUAUAGGUUUCACACGCCGCAUUAAUUGGGUCUGGUUGGGAAGUCAUGUGGGUUCAUAGUUUCACAUGUUGAAUUCUAGUUAUUUAUGGUUAACAUGUUAUUUUAUUUAUCGGACUAUAAACUUCAAAAGAAUAUAAUUCUUUUUUAGAUUUAGGAGAAAUUUCUGUCAAACAACGCUUCAGCCAUUGUUACAUGAUUUUCUUUAUAUUUUGACAAAAAUGAAUGUAUUACUUCACAUAUACCGUAUAGUAUAUUUCAAAUUUUAUAUAAUUCAAUUUAAUAGACUAAACCAUUUUGGAUCUGCCGUUGCACCUGACUACACCCUCGUUCUCAAAAAUUGUGACUGAAAUAUAUUCCGAGGUUGUUUGAUGUCUAGAUUUUGAAUGAAAUAAUAUAUCCAAACAAAAUUCUUAUUUUCAUAUAACUGAUUUUUUCCGAUUUAGGGCCGAAUUUUGGUUUGAUAUUAGGCGGUUGGUUCUAUUAUGAGCAAGUAACAAUGUUAACUCAAGAAGGCAACAAGGCAUAUAGGAGAGACAAAACAUAAACCAUUAUGAGCAGAAGAAACAGGCAAGAAAUGGCUAAAGAGAGAUUGAACUUAUCUGGUGCAACCAUCAUUAUAUGCCUAGAAAGUAAAUAAGCAGCGCUACUUACCCAAGAAUCCAGGACAAGUCCACCACUAAAUGCAUCACAUGCGGCUAUUCACAAUCCUGGCUUAGCCAUAAGAAGCAUGCAAUUAUAAUAUGGAAUCCGCAGAGAAGAAGGCCUACCACCAUUUACUGGGCCAUAUGCCCCCCCUGUGAUCAGACCAGGAAAGAGAUUGCUUGGCCCUCUUUCAAUUUUUGGCUUUACUUCAUCUUAACAAAAGUACCAAUUACUAGCAGAGGAAGAAGGAAUCUCCAGCUAACCCACUCCAAAGAUCCAUCUCCAUCAAAACCGCUUUAGAUUUCUCACCUCGAACUGGAACCGGAAUCGGAACCUUUGCCAAAGUCCAAAUGAUUCCACCUAGAAUCCACACACAACCACUGGAAGAUACAAUAAUAGUGGGGAGGAGAACACUGUUACAUCUCCAGCAUGUGACCUGGACUCCCAAAAGAAAAGAGGUUAUGCUAAAACUUAGUCAGUAUAAAAUGAGGGAAAUUCAAUUCAUGACAAGGAAAGUAAAUUUUGGGUCAUGCGAGUAUAUGCUAACACAUAAUCAGUAAUCAGCGGCUCAGCUUUAUUGCAGUAUCGCGUCAAACAAUGAUUUUGACAAAAGGCAGAGACAGACUUCAUAGCUCAUAGCCAAACAUGGGACUAAGUCACAAGAUAAAGAGGAGAAUGCAUGGUCGCUGUCAAAUCCUCUGGUUUGAACUGCAAAAAUAGUGAUGAAGAGCUCAGCAGGAAAUGUUAAGCAAGUAACGGACUAAAGAUUGCACAGUUAAUGGCAAAAAAGAUGGUACCUUCGUACCACUAACUCUUAUGAAAUAUAUGCCUGUUCAAGUAUCAAACAUAAUCUUGCUCAAACUUUGCCAAAAACCCUUCAUGGCAGCUGUACGUACCACUUCUCACUGCAUUGAUUGCAGUAGACGCGAAAUUGCUUUCGUCAGCAUGUGGUCCUUCCUUUCCUCAAAUAUGUAACAGCUCAGGGAAAUAUAUGUGAUUUCCGAGGUGGUCCUCUUAUGCUAUAUAAUGUUAACAAAACAUCACUGAAGCUCACAAGCAAACUGGGAUAGUCGCAUUCAGGUCAAUUAUGAACAAAAUGGCAAAGCUCAUGUUUUCGUAUUCUCAUUGGCUACAACUUUGUAGCACUUGGAACCGCUACAGUUAAAUCAUAUGGCAUGUAGAGUGCAUGACAAAAAGGAUCAAGCAGAGAGAAAGAGGCUACUAUUCAAUAAAAUUGACAGGGCUAAUCUCGUCGACAAGGUAAUUUUUUAUCAUCAUGCAUUGAGAACAAGGCUUCAGAGCCACCUUAGAACCACGAAAUGUCGCUGCCAGGGAGUAUAAAUAGAGAAAAUGUUAUCACCAUGUAUUGAGAAUACAAGGGAUAGUGUUAUUAAAUGCUAUAACCAGGGAGGGGGCCUUCAGAGUUCUCAAGUGGCAUCGUAUCCAUCAAUGCUAAGAUGUUCAAGUCCAGACUUGUAUAGAAUGGCAUAGUACUGUACGAUUUCCAUCCUUAAUAAAUGAAAUGUGCAGCCUGAUGCCUUGAGAUCUCGACCAAGAUGCAGGAAAUGCAAGGUUAGAGUUGAAUUUUCAAAUUUAUUGUAGCAAGAGACUCAGGGAUAUAGCAACCAGAAAAAACUUGGUGAAAACAAUUACAUAAUGUUGUGUACUGAAAUCAUGUCUCAGGGAUAAUGGCCAUAAUAUGUUAUGAUUAUACAACUAGCAAAGGUAGCAGCAUAUCAAAACAUAACACAAAUGUUUAGAACACAAAUGGUAUAUCUAUUAUGAGCAAGUAACAAUGUUAACUCAAGAAGGCAACAAGACAUAUAGGAGAGACAAAACAUAAACCAUUAUGAGCAGAAGAAACAGGCAAGAAAUGGCUAAAGAGAGAUUGAACUUAUCCGGUGCAACCAUCAUUAUAUGCCUAGAAAGUAAAUAAGCAACGCUACUUACCCAAGAAUCCAGGACAAGUCCACUAAAUGCAUCACAUGCGGCUAUUUCAACUCCUUUAGUGAAGCUGAAAAAGGCAUUGCGGCAAACCUAACUUCCAUAAACCUGUUCAUCCUUUGUAAAGUGGCAAUAGUGAAGAUAAUCUAAACUUGCUUCAUUCAAGUCAAUAAGAAGGCUACUCUCAAGUUUUCAUUGAAAGUUCUUAUCUUGAACAUCAGAACAGUGACAAUAUGAACGGCGAGAACAUAUAAUAUGAAUAACUCAUCAGCAACAUCUUACGAUGCUUAUAUAUGUUCCCAUGAGACCUAAGUCUAGACGGUAAUAGUGUACAACCCCAGGCAGAAAACCUAAGCAACCAUAUAAGAAGCGGGCAAAGCACAAUCAUGGGGAAGAAUCCUCAACCUUGUAGAAUUACAAUGGAAGCGCAGACACUGCUAAAGACAAAUAGAUGCUAUGGGGCAAGAAAUAAGAACUGCACUAAAUAUGGAGGGAGUGACUGAACCAUGGUUUAGCUGUUACCAUACUACCUCUCUCUAAGAACCAAGCUUGCUACUUCCUGUAUGAAGAAUUAUGCUCCAUGGCCAGCAACCCCUCACCGAUCCAAUUACACAUUCCAACUUUCCAACACUUCUGCAAAUGAAAAGGAGCACAAACAGCUAAUCCCCAAGGAUACAGGAAACAAAGACCUUUCAAAAACUCCAAGUGUUGUAAAAGUCCUCCGAAAUCAGCAUCAGCAUACCACUGAAAAUUAUAUCCAGGGUCAAUAACAUUCUUUUCCCAACCCAAUUCUCCCAAGCUACAUAUUUCAGUUUGGUUCCCAGGCAGGGACUCCAAGGAAUGUUAUAGAGCAAUGCUAACAGAUACGUCAGAAAGUAGAUAGAAGGUUUUGGCCAGACAUUAAUUUCCUAACUCACAGACUUUAAUCUAACAUGAUAUGGAAUAAGAAUCAGAUCCUAGAACUACAAUAAUUAAAGGUUUAUACCAAUAAACAAAUCCAUGUCUAAGGAUCAACCUAUCAGUCCAACCGGAUUGGCAUUGACUUCUGUAAGUCUAAAGAUGAACCUCACAGCCCAACCAGCUUGGUCACCAACUUCUGUAAAUCGAUCCUUCUCCAUCACAGGAAAACAAUAACUGUGUCAUAAGAUUUUCCAUGUAUAUCGCAUUCAUAUGAAUGCAAUUCCUAGACUUGUUACCUUUCAAAAUAAAUCUAACCCCAACUAAGAUGCAUCAGCAAACAUAAUUCCAGAAUCAUUGAACUUGGUGAUACAAAAAUUCAACUAACCCUUGCCUGUUAGCAUCUCAUGCUCCCCGCCUUCCCAGUCAAUUUGCUGUAAGAAUCACCACUAAGGUUGCUGUCGAACAAGAAUGAACACAUACCACAGGCAAAGAUUAUUAGUUCUAAACAUCACAAGUUAAUGCAUAGUGCAAACAAUACUACAGAUUCAAAACAUCGAGUAGUAUUGCAGGCUACACUCACAAGAUCAAAUCAUUAUAAUUCAUCAAAACAGAGCUGGCACCAUUCCAAAUAAGAUGGACAAAUUGAGAAGCUCAAACUAAUUGAAUAGAUAGCUUAAUAUUAAUACCUUGAUGGAAAUCAAAAUGUGUACAGGAAAGAGAUUCCCUUUCUAAGACAGAAAGCUGCAUCUAUAAAUCAAAUGAACCAUCCCAACAGAACUAUGAAGUUAGCAGCUCUAAUCCAUAUAAAACAUUUGCGUACUUUUCUAUUGCUCCAUCCUCCCUACCAUUGAAGUACUUCUCUCUCAUUUUCUGAAAGGCGUGGAGUGUCGCCAAGCUAUCUGAACCAGCUUGGUGACUCUUCCCAGUGACCCGCUCCACACCCAAAGUCUUGCAUGUCCUAUCAAGACCACCAAACAAGUUCGCCCCAAACUUCAUGAAAUGCUUAACGUCAUAAACGUUGUCCCCAAAGAACAUUCUCACCAAAUCAAGAAACUCAGUCAAGCCAUCGGGCAAAGGCUUCUGAGUCAAACACUUCACCAAGUAACCAAAAUCAUAAGCGCUAUGAAAUGUGACCCAACUAACUGAGGGAUCCAACACCAGUCCCGACGACAUCAUCAGCUCGGCAAAUUUCACAGCCUCAACUCCUUCCUUUCUGUUUUUCUCGAAAUCCAUCCCUUGCCUCCUCAACAUGUCAACGGAGUCAUGAGCAUGAUAGUCGCAAGACACAUCAAAAUCCCUAAAAUUGAAUUCCCAUAUAUAACAACUCCCAGUUCCAAAAUCCGGCAAAUUCCCUUCCUUAUUGGCGAGCGUGAGCCCUACCUGGAUCAGUUUAAGCGCAUCAACGUUGGCCUUGAGGAUCGCAUACCUUCCCGUUGGAUCCUGCGAUCGAUGACUUUGUUCGACGCCCUGCGCGCGAAUCACAACGCCUGGGAACUCCGUGUCCAUGGAAAUCAGCGGGUACUUUUCUACGACUUUCCGGAUUACCAAGAACUCCGAUACGAGAUUCUCCGCCCACACCGAUCGGAUCACGACAGGUCGGCAGGGCGAAGAAGGAAGAGGCGGCGGCAGGGAGGCGAUCGACUCUUCGCCGGUGGAUUUAGACAUGGCUGAUUGUUGGGGGAGAGGAGGAUCGGUCUGAAAACAGAGCGCAUCCAGAGAUGGACGAAGAGGCGGCGAAGAUCCGAGGUGACUUCGUUGGCGAUGGAAACGAACAGCCCAGAGAGGCGGAGGAGGCGGAGGAACAUGGCAGACGACGGAGUUAUAUAGGAAAAGGGUAACGGAAAAGGAGAAGGCAACAAACGUGGGGAUAUUGUUCAUAGGGCGGUUCCAUUUGGCAAAAAAAAAGCACUUAAUUAUUUUAAAAUAAUUGCUAGGGGUUUGUUUUUUGUUUUGUAAGCUUAGGAGGCCACGGGGGCCCAAAAUAGAGACGAACUUGGAUUAUCCAUCGAAGGCCCAAACUAAAGACGAACUUGGAUUAUCCAUUGAAGGCUUAAUCCACAAAGGGUCUCACUAAGUAGAACUUAAAAUGCAGAGGGAAACGAAACACGAUGCCUCAAAGGCUCUAAACCAGGCGGGUCGGAGCCGGCACGUCAACAAAGUCGCUUGGCAAGUAAACGCUUCUCGGCCUCGCCACUGUGAGUCACUUCGCCGGACUGUGUUCAACAAACGCGAUUUUGCUCCCGGAGAUUCUCCCAAAGAUCGCUGCUAGGAUUUUUGAGUUGUACCAGCUGUAUCUCCAAAAGGUAAUAGGUUUUUUUCCUCCCCCGAACAUUUUAUCCUGUCAGUCUUGUUGUCUGAUUUUAUGCAGACCAGGUGUUCGAUGAAACGAUAUCCCCCAUUAGUCGUUUAUCUUUGUAGAUAAGCUACUUCUUAGCCUACUUAACUGGUCUUUAGCUUUUUUAAAUCUUUCCUCAUUUACAUGGGGAAUACAUAUGAACACUUACGUCUGAUGAGAAGUUCGUCUCUGAGAUUCUGUUAUCUGUUUCUUUUUAAUCUGUUUGUGUUCGUAGUUUUGUACUUAUUUUUGUAAAGCUUGGUUUAGAUGUGUAUCAGAUGAUGAUGUGGGUCAAAUGUGGAUGAAUUCGAGGCUAAAAUAUAACCAUAUUAGCGUGGCUGGUCUCAAGUUUCUUUUGUUGUCCCCCUGUGUCCACAAUUGAUAUGUCCUUGAUAUGAAUAGAAAAGAAAGCUGCAUUGAUGUGUCAUUUAUAUCAGUGAUAAAUUUUAUAUCCUUUAUUGGUCACAUACUUCCUACUUUAAGCUGCAAGCUGUCUUUCUGUUUGUGCAUUCAUGUGUUUGUUAAUUGUGCCUAACCCAUGUACAUCAUGUUGGAGUCGGUUUAUCUAGUACUCCCUUCAACAAUUAAGUGCAUGCUUUUCCAGAAGAGCGCAUUCACUUCCCUUGGGAGAUAUAACAGAACAGUUUUAUUGUGCAGAUGUCGUUAUUCAUUGGUAAUUUAUCUCCCCGGACUCCCAAAGAUGAACUUGAGCGCGUUUUUGGAAGGUUUGGUCAGUGUGACAUACGAAUGAAAGAUGGAUAUGGAUUUGUGGUAUAUGAGUUCCCCCCUAAUGCAGAGAAAGCCCUGAAAUCGUUAGAAAAUAAGUACAUUUGCGGGCUGUCAUUAAACCUCUCAUGGUCAAAGAAACAACCUAGACCAUUCAACAAACAUGGAAGGCCUGUUAGAAAUUAUGAGUCUCAGCCCGGGAGAUAUUCUACAAGAGAUGCAGGGUAUGGUCGAGGCAAAUUGGAUUCACCAGGUCGACAAGAUUAUAGAAAGCUUGUUAAGCAUGAAGAUGAAAGUGGGAGAAGGUUCCAUGCCAAUAUUCUUGAUGAGGGGACAGCUUACCAACAUGAUGAGAUAAAAGAUUUUACUGGUCAAGAACAUCACAGUUACAGGGAACAUGAAUUGGUUGAUAAUGAUAGAUGGGAUCUCCAAUUCCAUGACAUGCCAAAUGAAAGUGAUGUCAAUGACCGAGUGGAUUCUGGCAGGUAUGAACCUUUCCAAGACAGAAACGAUGAUGGUAACCCUCAAAUGGUCCAUUCUGGCAGGUCUCCUUCUCAACGGAACUUCCAAGAGGAUGUAGGGCGAAAUUACAUUGGUGAAAGAAAUUUCAAGCGCAAUGAUGUAUCAUGUUAUGGCUGUGGGGGGCUUGGUCACAAAAUGCGUAAUUGUCCUGAGAAAAUUUUUCUGAAGAGAAAGUGGUCUAAGUUUGACCAAAGAGGUGACAAUUAUGUGAAUCGGCAAGGGAGAAGUGAAGAUCAGAUGGAAAUACUUGAAUGGUCAAGGGAAACAGAACCACGGAGGAGUAUCAUUCGAACACAGAGAAGUGGAAAUGGUGUAAAAUUAUCUGGUUCAAGAAAGGAUCAGACAUUGGCGAAGUGCAAUAUCUCUCCUGUUGGAAAGGAAGUUGGCUCAUUUCAGAAAGAGGAUCAUGCUAGAAAAAAGCGAAGCAGGAACGGAAGUGAAUCACCUGAAAGACGUAGCACUAGGAGAGGAAGAAAGUCAGUUUCAUCUUCUCAUGAUUCCGGUCACCCGGGAUCCAGAUCAUUAGCUAAGCCCUCAAAACACAGUCAAAUGUCUCAUGUUCACUCUAACUCGAGGUCAAUUUCAUCUAGAGCUCAUUCACCAUCCUCUGAUACAAUGUCUGGUGUGACACCACAUAGGUUCAAGAAUGCUAGGUCAAGAUCUAGAUCCAGCUCUCCUACUUAUUUGUCUUUAUCUGUGUCACUUGGACAGCCUACACCAUCUUCUGAUAAGGCUCGGUUGAAUCUGAAAAGUUCAUUGGCCGAAAUCAGAACUGCAGAAUCGAGGGAGAUCUUAGUCGAAAAGGAACUGGCAAUGGAAGCUAAUAUAGAGGUGGAGAAUGCUGAACCUGCAAAUGAAAUGACACAGCCAAGUCCUGUGUCAUCUUUCAAUAUAGAAGGUCAAGUUGGAAAAGACCUGCCUCUGGUUUACAGUGGAAAAGAGACAUUGUUCGCAUUACCCAAUGUUGGAAUAAAUUAUAGCACAUCGCUAACAGAAAAUGCAACAUCUGUUGCUCCAAGUUCAUCACUGCAGAGGCAUAUAGAGAUAACUACUGAAGAUUCAAGUCCGGUAAUUGAAAAGAAUGUGUCAUGUCCUAUAUUGAAACCAGAGUUUGAACUUCCAGUUAAAUCAGGCACCUCCAAUUCAAUAGCUCUUUCCUCAGAAGAUUUGUGUUUAGUUCUAAAGCAUUAUUAUCCUGAUACUCCAGAUGAAGGUGAAAUGAAUCUGAACCCUGAGGCGUACUUUGGUUCUACUCGUUUGUGGCCUUGGGAACUUAUCUAUUAUAGGAGGUUGAAGAAAAGUCCUAUAUCCAUUGAAAACUAUGCUAAGCGGGUGGAGCAAAAUCAUGAAUAUCAUAUUGUUGACAAGUAUAUUAGAAGCAGCAGUGGAUGGGGGGAAUUGGACAAAAGGAAUGAGUAGAAGUCCUGUUCAUUAGAUGGAUUUUGGCAUGGCGACACUUGUCUCACUUGACAGCCGUGUUUUAGUUGGAGUUCCAUGCAAUAUAUCUAGUGUGUUCCUUGAUUGAAGCUUUGGUAAGGUAACCAUGCCCAUGUAAAUUUUGCUACGUCAAACCUAGUUUGUUGUAUUUUGGAGGUAAUCUUAGGUUGGGGCGGUGCGAAGGACCACAUUUUCUCAAUGGAAAUGGUUUUAAGCUUUCAACUUUUUAUGUUUUGUCAGUAGGGAUUUUGUGUUUGUGGUUCGCUAAUGAUGAAUUUCUUUCCUCUCCAUUCAUGAUAGGUUCAUGGUGCUCAACCAAGAUAGCCAAUAGGUUUGGGCACGUAAUGUCUCAUGAUAGUUCUUCCUUCUGCAUUUCUGUAUUGCUGAAAAUUAUAUGCACAUGGAAGAAAAGUUGAAAAAAACAAAUUCAAUGAACAAAAGAGCCUGGAAUAGGCUAUGUGCAUGUGGCUUUAUUUUCAGAAGAGAAGAGACAAAUCUUCUAGAUCAGAAGGGAAAGGAACCGAGUCCUUGUUCACUUGCUUCCUAAGUGCCAAAUUAUAUGAAGUUAAAUUCUGUUUGGCAGCUCAUUAUGAUUAUUCUAAGUUUAGUAACAGCAAUAUGAUAUCUUAUGGAGCCUCAUUUUAUUUAGUACUUUUUAGUUGAUCUUGAAGUACAUCGUGAAAAAUGUGUCCGUUUUCUCUGUUAUGGGGAUAAUGAAGCUGCUACAUGUCCCUUUUCAUUGCUUCAUCUACCGCUACAUGCUCAUUCAAUCUUAUUAUUUUUUAUGGACUAGUGAUUCUCAACCCUAAUUAUGCGGUCAGUCUCGUAAGGUUGACAUUAUCUUCAAGCCGUCAAAACCUUGAUUAGGUACCAUUUUAGAGCUUAAAUAAAUUUUAUAUGUUUGCAUGCUUCUGCAGAAAAUCUAGUGAUGAACUAGAUGUAUUAUGAGAGGCAGCAACUUCUGUGUACUAUUGCUGCAUAUAGAACUCUUUGUUGAAAUCAAUCUUUAUCCAAUACAGUUUUGCUCUUAUAGACAUUGUAGAAGCGAGGCACCCCUCCUUCAUAGUUUAACCUCACCUCAUUGGCUUUAAGGUAAGUUAUUGUUGCCUCGUAGAGCACUAGACCACCAACCCCUUGGGCUUCAACAUCACAUCCUACUUACAUAAUACAUUUAAAAUGACAUGGAAUGUGGAAGUUGCACCACUAGAAAUUGGUAUGCCUGGUUCUCGUUUGGAGCAUUCUACACUAUUCCUGCUAUUUUUCUUCUGCUAUAUCAAACUUGUAACUGUUUCAUGCCUGCGGAUUGUUUUUUGUAAUUGAAUGUUAGCAUAUCUUUUAUAGUUUCAUCUGAAGUAGAGACUUGUCGUUACAUCUUUAGGGAAACCCUAUAAAGUUGAUGUGAACGAACCUGAAUGCCAAUUUGCAGCAUUUACUUGCAGGGACUGUCAAAUUUAUACUAACAACAGCAUGGACCUCAGCAGGCUCCAAGCUUGCACUCGUCUUAACAAUAGCAUGAUGCAAUCUACUUUGUUGUUCCUUCUUUUAUAUUUGUUUAAUUCUUUUGAUAACCUGACCUUUCUGUUAUUUGUGCUUAGGCUUCAGUUUUGUAAAAGCCAGGUGGGAUAGUUGUGUUGUGGGGUUUAGUUUUUGGAUUUGGCCUGCUAAAAUGACUCCGUGGGACGUAAAGGUUGAUAUUUAAGUCGUAGGGACUCGUGAUUAGUCUACCUAAGGUUCUAUACAGCCUUACAUGCCUUAUAAAUUUUUAAUGUGAAAUUGAAAGGUGCAAUGUAUAGAAACAAAUUUUCGCACUGGUUUUGUGGCAUACUUAGUUCUGUGCUGUGGCAUCUGCAUCCAGAUCCAGAGAGAUCUAAUAGCACGAAAAGUAUCUAGUAUGUUUAUCCAGUAUUCUAUAUCUAUAUUAGGGGUGUAUAUCAAGUCGUGGCACUCUUUUGGAAAUAGGAGUUUAGGGUAAGUCUGAUUGCCACUUAAAUAAUUUUGGUACUGAAAGGUCAUAACUCAAAGCAGAUGAGUCGUCCACUCAAGAUGAAUGUUGGUCAGUCAUAUAUGUACAUCAGUGCCAAUAUCCAAUUAACUGGAUCCGGCUACCAACACCGAUCAUUUGCUAUUAUGAUGUAUAAACUGUUACUUCAGAAGGUAAACCUCUUAAAUUGAUUUGAAACUCUGGUUCUUCCUUUUGAUGCUCUUCAUAAAACCAUUGUCACUGCAGUAAAUGCUUUACAGUGACAUUUUCUAUUGUCAGGGAGAUAGAUGCAUUUUGUGUCCAGUUUAGUUUAUCUGAACUAACCAAUUAUAAUUGGUAAGAUUUUGUUAUAUCUGCAGGUUGGCCAUUCAUGAAAACAAAGAAAAUGAUGCUUCCAAAAGGUAAAGAUUCAACGAAUUCUACUCCUUCGAAAUUAAAAUUUACUUUUCUUGUAGGUCCAUUGCUGAAGUUUGGAAUUAAGCAUUUUUUAGGAUCUGUGAUUUUUCCUUUUAGUCAGGAAUGACUUCACUUAUCGUGUUAAGGUAGAAUUCCAUGCAUGUCGUCACUUGAAGAACCUCUUAAGUGAUUUUUUGUUAAAUAAAUGUUGCGAAUUGGAGUAAGCUGUUCUAAUCUUCCGUUCCGGAAGUGCCUUGACAUUUGAGGAAUCCAAGUUUGAAACGUUUUACUCUGUAUGGACCAUAUAGAAUAGUCAAAUUAGAUUUGAUAUGUCAAUAGGACACACUCAUGAUGAAAAUACACGCACAAAACCGAUUGACAAUGUGCACGUUUCUUGUUUUAGUUUUAUCACUACUGUAUUAAUGCCUAUGGUUAUGUAUGUUACGCAGUUCGAGAGAAGUUGUUUCUCUAGGAUAGCAUGUAGUUACGUAUGGAAAAGUUACAUUAAAGGACGAGAAUGAGUAACUUCUUUUCAUCAAAGAUUUCAAGCCUUUCUUUGUCUCUUUUUUAUCAUUUAAUUGAUAUUUGAUGGGUGGUAUGGUAUGAUUCCCUUUCCCCCUUCCGAAUGUGAAAUUUGAACUCUUUUCAUCUUUAGCAAUUAACAUGCAGAUAAAUGCAUCUCUAGUACUCGGGUUGACCACUACCGCUUCUAGCUAUGAAUACAGUAAACAGCUAGUGAAAAUAACUGGUUACACAGUUGGCAAUUUAACUUUUUGUUUUUGUGAAUUGCUUUUCAUUCUCUUUUAAGAAUAUGCAGAUGCUCCCAUCCAAUAAGCCAGUCAGUGGUUUUCCAGCCAUGCCCCCCAAAGUUGGUAAGCAAUUUUCCCGCCCCCCUUAAUGUGUGGCUGGCUGUUUCUCGUUAGUUUGAUUCUCCAUGAAGAAAUGACCUCAGUUGUUUUCAUUGGACCAUUCUAUCUGCAUGACCUAGACUGUUUUUCUCUUGAUAUUUCCGUUGUAGGUUAUUUCAACAACAUGCUAGAGCAUUUAUAGACUAUAUAUUAGCUAAAUUUAUUUUCUUGGAUAUUUUCCUCGUUUAUUAAUAAAUCAAUCCAUCCUCUGAAAUUAGAGAUGAGAGAAAGAAUGAUGUGUAGGUGCUAAGAAAAGAAAAGAAGGGUUGAUAGGUGAAAAGAUUAGGGAGGAGAAGUGAAAAGGGUAAUAAGAGAGACGGAAGAAAGAAUUGAAUGGGAGGGGCAUGGAGAAGAGAUGAGAGCGGUGGAAGGGAAGAAAAUAUUUCCACUUACCAAAAUCGAGAAUGCCACCAGAAAGGUGGCAUUUAGUGAAGAGAUGAGAAGUGUAGUAGUGAAAAGGAAAGCAAAAUAUUGAACACAGGAAAAAAUAUAGAUGGCUGGCUGAAGGGUUGGAUAUUAAAUUUGUAUUUAUCAUCUUGACGUAAUACCACACCCUUGCCUUUCAUUAUUCUCAACUGUCUCAAUUACUCUUUGCAUUUAUUUGUUUGUAAUGGCCUUUCAAUCUGAUAUAGUGCCCCUUUUGUUUCAAUGCUCGAACUACCCAACCCACCCCCUUCAUUUACCCAAUUGCCCUUCUCCCCUCCACCUCCGCCAAUUAUGAUUAACAACCCAUUAACUUAAGUUAUCAGAAGAUGAGUCCUUUUCAUAGCAUGGAUUUGCCUGAUAUGUUCUGUUUCUGACUGUACCACUCAUCUUACUGCUAGCUUGUCUAAUACUGAUUCAUCAUUAUACUAAUCUUGGGUUUACAACGUUUAGUUGAAAUAUGUGAUCUUAUCUUAGUAUCCCUUUGAUCAGUACUAGGAAACAACCAGACUUUGUCUGUGGACACAACCUUUCUGCUGGUUUAUUUGUCAUAUCUUUUCCCUUGGGAGUGGGGAUGGGCAACAUCAUAGAUAUAGGUUUUGUUUGGUCCCGUGGAGUGUCUUUCACGAAGCUCUUUUUUGAGUUUUGACUCCUAAGUGUACAGAACCGUGGGGCCCUCUUGAGUCAUAGCCGUACCAUCUUCUACAAGUGCUGCCUUCUUUCCUAAGUACAAAAAACAAACGGAGAGAAGAGCUUCUAACUUGGUGGUCACAAUGGUUUUUUUUUCACUCCUCACGUCCCAAAUCUUUCUAGGCUAGUGAAAAGAACAAACAAGCACAGAGAGGAAUAACCUCUGAUUUAGAUUCACACACAGACAUGCCUUGUUCUGUAGAAUCAGGAACUCUGCGUCAUUGCUCCAGCUGAUGUCGAUGAUGUGGCAUUGUGUCAUUGGUCGCCUAGUUGAUGGUAACAGGAUAGGUGACAAAAAAGAUAGAUACAAAAGGAGAAAGCCCAUAUCAAAAGUACUUAGUCAUAGGAAACAUUUGGUCAGCCGUAGCUAGCCAGUUUUACAUUUGAUCCUCCUUCUAAACCAGAAAACACCCCCUCACCGCCGCCUGAGGUUUCCAUAAUAUUUAAUCCUAUUUUGCAGAUGGAAAAACAGAGAAACUAGAAUCCUACCACCCUCCCAAAUAGAAAGAAAGAAGAAGAAGAAAUGAAAGAAAAGCAGUGCUAUUCGCGCUCCACUUCAAUUGACUUACUUUCCCAUUCUCUUGGUAGCUUUUUUUUACGCUUUUGUUUUUCUGCCACAGAAUGGAGCUGAGAAGUGGAGCGCAGAUAGCGCUACUUACCAUGGAUAGGCAGAAGAGAUAAUCUAGAAGAAAGAAAAUGAAAGGAGAAAAUAGAUUUGCCUACAGAGCCACUCAUAAUAAAGUCCUAAGAAAAAAGAGUCUCUCUUUUCCCCUGCCCCCCUCAUUUCUUAGCUCUAAUGUUGCAGUUGUUGCUGCUGCUGUCAUGGAGGAAGUCAAGCAAGACGGUGCUCUUGCACUUGGGGCAUCGGGGAUCAUCCUCAGAGAGCAUCACGUACAUAAGACACCUCGGACAACCGACAAGAACCAUGGAAGUUGCUUCAGGGCUGUUGGAAUACCUCAACCCGCCGCUGCUGUCAUCCUGGUUCAUCUCAGACGACACACAGGAGCUCGGCGGCGAAGUCGGGGACACCGUGGCCGAUCGGCUAGGUGAAUCUACCCUCAUAAAGUUGUUGUUGUUCCCGCCUCUGGGUGGCGACAGGUUUAGCUUCAGCUCCAGCUUUGGGUUGUUGCUGUUGUUCCUUCUGCUCAUCCUGCCGGUCAAAAGAAAAAAACAAGUUAGUUCCCAUGACUCUUACUGCUGCAUCUUUUGAAUUGAACCAUCUCUGUUUUUUUUGAAUAAACCUGUUUGAAAGGAGGUGCGCCCCUGAAACUCCUGGAGAACCUAGAAGAGGAACUUGAGCUAUUGAGGUGUAAUUAGGAACAGUUUAUGGGGAGGGGGUGUGGUGGUGGGUUCGAACAAGUUAGGGCGUUAUAUACAACAAGGUUGGAAAAUAUGAUGGGUGAGAGAGAGAGAGAGAUGAGAUGGGGGGGGGGGGGGGGGGGGGGUUGAUGAAGGGGGGGGGGGUUUGCUUUAAAGCUUAAAUUAAUUAUGGUGAAGGAGGGGAAGAGAGGUGGAGGGUGUAGAGAUAGAAAGAGAGAGAAUUGAAUGGAAUUGAAUUGAAUUGAGAGUGCUGGUAGUAGAAGCAAAGCAAGGAGGAGAAGAAGAGGGUGUUAAUUGAGACCAAGAAAUGUAUUAAUGAAUGGGGAAAAAAUCCCAAGGAGUAUGCAGAAGGAGGAAACUUUGGAGUAAAUACUGCUAAGUGCAAGCAAAGCCUCCAAAACCCACCACCCUUCAUUCACUGCCCUUUAACACACAACAACAAUGGACAGCCGCAGAUCCACGAUGGUCCAACGCACUGGUUUGAAUUGAUAGAAUUUCAAAGGUAUUAGACAGUAUCUAAACAAUAGUACUUGAACAUUAAGAGAUUCUCAUAAAUUUACGAAUUUUUAAAAGUUCUACACACGAAUAAGGGCUAGGUUGUGAUUUGGGGAAGCCCUUUCCAGUCUCUGUCGCCGACGAUGGAGGUAAGGGAAGAAGCAUGAGAAUAUAGAUGUCUCUGAACACUGUGUACAUGUUUUAGAGACUUCAUCAGGAGACAGCAAGUAUGAAGUAUUUAAGUUUUUUUUGGUGGGAAAUAGUUUGGGCUAGCAUUAUCUAGAAGUUAUGUUUCGUGACUUCUUAAUUCUUUUUUCCUUAAUUUUGGUUUAGCAUUUUUGUAAAUUUUAUGUGCAAUUGUUAACCUAGUUGUAUGGUCCGAACCGG
Molecule: long non-coding RNA, 21036 nt
Filed under: Linum usitatissimum (flax)
Lineage: Eukaryota; Viridiplantae; Streptophyta; Magnoliopsida; Malpighiales; Linaceae
Source: RNAcentral